RNAcentral lists this ribosomal RNA (325 nucleotides) under uncultured eukaryote. Its description in RNAcentral is "partial 18S ribosomal RNA". It matches the Rfam family "Eukaryotic small subunit ribosomal RNA", at positions 1470 to 1796 of the family's 1831-position model. The record is from RNAcentral.
CCCUUAGAUGUCCUGGGCCGCACGCGCGCUACACUGAUGCAUUCAACGAGUUUUACCUUGGCCGAGAGGCCUGGGCAAUCUUUUAAACCUGCAUCGUGAUAGGGAUAGAUUAUUGCAAUUAUUAAUCUUGAACGAGGAAUUCCUAGUAAACGCAAAUCAUCAAUUUGCAUUGAUUACGUCCCUGCCCUUUGUACACACCGCCCGUCGCACCUACCGAUUGAAUGGUCCGGUGAAGCCUCGGGAUUGUGGCCAGUUCACUUUAUUGGGAGUUGGCUGUGAGGACUUGUCUAAACCUUAUCAUUUAGAGGAAGGUGAAGUCGUAACA